RNAcentral lists this ribosomal RNA (324 nucleotides) under uncultured bacterium. RNAcentral describes it as "bacterial SSU rRNA". It matches the Rfam family "Bacterial small subunit ribosomal RNA", at positions 182 to 507 of the family's 1533-position model. The record is from RNAcentral.
GAAUGGCAUCUAUUUAUAAUUAACAUUUAUGGGUAAAAGAUGGCUAUGCGUUCUAUUAGCUAGUAGGUAAGGUAACGGCUUACCUAGGCGACGAUAGAUAGGGGUCCUGAGAGGGAGAUCCCCCACACUGGUACUGAGACACGGACCAGACUCCUACGGGAGGCAGCAGUGAGGAAUAUUGGACAAUGGGCGAGAGCCUGAUCCAGCCAUGCCGCGUGCAGGAAGACGGUCCUAUGGAUUGUAAACUGCUUUUAUACAGGAAGAAACACUCGGACGUGUCCGAGCUUGACGGUACUGUAUGAAUAAGCACCGGCUAACUCCGUG